This 564-nucleotide ribosomal RNA is filed under the name uncultured bacterium. RNAcentral's name for it is "bacterial SSU rRNA". It matches the Rfam family "Bacterial small subunit ribosomal RNA", at positions 313 to 878 of the family's 1533-position model. The record is from RNAcentral.
UUGGAACUGAGACACGGUCCAAACUCCUACGGGAGGCAGCAGUGAGGAAUAUUGGUCAAUGGGCGGAAGCCUGAACCAGCCAAGUAGCGUGAAGGACGACUGCCCUAUGGGUUGUAAACUUCUUUUAUGCGGGGAUAACGUUCGCCACGUGUGGCGUUUUGCAGGUACCGCAUGAAUAAGGACCGGCUAAUUCCGUGCCAGCAGCCGCGGUAAUACGGAAGGUCCAGGCGUUAUCCGGAUUCAUUGGGUUUAAAGGGAGCGUAGGCCGCCUUUUAAGCGUGUUGUGAAAUGUAGGGGCUCAACCCCUGCACUGCAGCGCGAACUGGAGGGCUUGAGUACACACAAAGUAGGCGGAAUUCAUGGUGUAGCGGUGAAAUGCUUAGAUAUCAUGAAGAACCCCGAUUGCGAAGGCAGCUUACUGGAGUGUAACUGACGCUGAAGCUCGAAAGCGCGGGUAUCGAACAGGAUUAGAUACCCUGGUAGUCCGCGCGGUAAACGAUGGAUGCCCGCUGUUUGCCAAUUUGGUAAGCGGCCAAGCGAAAGCGUUAAGCAUCCCACCUGGGG